Molecule: ribosomal RNA, 484 nt
Filed under: uncultured bacterium
Lineage: Bacteria
Description: bacterial SSU rRNA
Rfam family: Bacterial small subunit ribosomal RNA
Source: RNAcentral
UCCUGGCUUAGGACGAACGCUGGCGGCACGCUUAACACAUGCAAGUCGAACGGAGACAUUUGGUUACUGAGAUGUCUAGUGGCGGACGGGUGAGUAACACGUGAGCAACCUGCCUUCAAGAGGGGGAUAGCUUCUGGAAACGGAUGGUAAUACCCCAUAACAUAACUGAACCGCAUGAUUUGGUUAUCAAAGAUUUAUCGCUUGAAGAUGGGCUCGCGUCUGAUUAGAUAGUUGGUGAGGUAACGGCUCACCAAGUCGACGAUCAGUAGCCGGACUGAGAGGUUGAACGGCCACAUUGGGACUGAGACACGGCCCAGACUCCUACGGGAGGCAGCAGUGGGGAAUAUUGCACAAUGGGGGAAACCCUGAAUGCAGCGAUGCCGCGUGGAGGAAGAAGGUUUUCGGAUUGUAAACUCCUGUCUUAAAGGACGAUAAUGACGGUACUUUAGGAGGAAGCUCCGGCUAACUACGUGCCAGCCGCUGC